RNAcentral lists this ribosomal RNA (484 nucleotides) under uncultured bacterium. Its description in RNAcentral is "partial 16S ribosomal RNA". It matches the Rfam family "Bacterial small subunit ribosomal RNA", at positions 28 to 507 of the family's 1533-position model. The record is from RNAcentral.
AUUGAACGCUGGCGGCAUGCUUUACACAUGCAAGUCGAACGGCAGCGCGGGCUUCGGCCUGGCGGCGAGUGGCGCACGGGUGAGUAAUACAUCGGAACGUGCCCAGCAGGGGGGGGUAGCUCGGCGAAAGCCGGAUGAAUACCGCAUACGACCUGAGGCUGAAAGCGGGGGAGCUUCGGACCUCUCGCUCUUUGAGCGGUCGAUGGCGGAUUAGCUAGUUGGUGGGGUAAAGGCCUACCAAGGCGACGAUCGGUAGCUGGUCUGCGAGGCGGACCGGCCGCCUGGGAGGUGGGACAGGGACCAGACGCCUGCGGGAGGGAGCAGUGGGGAAUGUGGGGCAGUGGGGGAAAGCCUGAUCCAGCAAGGGGGAGUGUGAGAUGAAGGCGUUCGGGUUGUAAAGAAGUUUUGGCGGGAACGAAAAGGAUUGUGCCAAUACGACGGUUGGAUGACGGUACCGGGAGAAGAAGCACCGGCUAACUACGUG